UCUCGGCGCGUCGCGGCGCGUCACUUCCUGUCCCGUCGUGUCCUGUGCGUUAGUACCUGCCGAGUUCCCGCCCAUUCCGGCCUGGCUGGACCCCGGGCCCUUUCCCGUCGGGGGUCGUGAGGCUGCGCCGAGAACGUUUCCCCGAGGGCCUGUCGCGCAUUUCUGCCGGGAGAAAACUAAUCCGGGCCGCUGGGGGAGCUGCCCACGUCAGGACCAUACUUCACCCUCUGUGCCAACAAACCUAAGACUGUCACUUCCUGGCAGCUGUGGCUUCUCCAGUGCUAAGGUCACUGCCCCAAACAUUGGAGAAGCAGACAGGAAAGACAGAAAAUCCUGACUUCCUGAAGUAGAAAGCUCCGAGGAACCAGCACUGGUUAGAAAAUCCAGAACUAAUUGACGGAUAGAGGACAACCCUGAGAGAAAGAGCAGAGCAUCUUCGUCCCCAGAGGGCCCCUCUGACGUUUUCACGCCUCCACCGCAGGUAACUUCCACUCACUGACUUCUACACGUCCUCCUGGUCACUCGUAUCCAGAUUUCUGCUGUUACCAAUGCUAUUGAGUUGGUCAAACUACAUUUUCUAAAAAUAAAAUGAAACAAAGCAAAACAAAACAAAAAAAGCCCCUGGGAUGUGGAGCUCAAAAUGCUUUUUCUACCCCCGCCAAAGAGGCAACCGCGGGAUCUGUUUCCCAGGACCCUCCCACGGAGCGAGCCCACCUCUGGGGCUGCCUGUCACGCAGAAGUGCCCCUGGCAGGCUGCUCCAGCCCUACCCUUCCUGGGCUUCAUUCCCACGCUGCUUUGGGUUCCCCGCACCCAAUCCCCAGCCCCCAGAGCUCUUCUUACUCACACUGGUAACUGUUUGCUCCACCCCGGUGAGAAAACGCCCCGCCUCCUCAGCGUCUUACUGGACACAGACUCUCUUCCUUCCUGCAACUGGAACCUCACCCUCCAUCCUUCCAUGUGCCGAGGACACCACCUCCGUUCCAGGGCUGCCACCAGCUCUCUGGUCCCCUCACACCUGACUUAGGCUGCUCGAGCUUCCAUCCUGCAAUGAGAGCAGACGUCACCCUUUACAAGGCAGACUAGUGCAGACCCUACCUGAACCCCACAGGGCGUCUGGCUGGAGUUUACACCAGGCCCUCGACGGUCCCUGUGAACUGGCCUUGCUCCCUCCCAUCCUCACUUCCUCGACUCUGCCCCCUCGCAGCGUCCUCGCCUCGGGCAUCUUCCCGUUCCUGGGACGGGCUCACACCCAGCUGCCAGCUCCGUAAGGACCCCUUCUGCGACCCUGCGAGGGACGGGUUCCUUCGCGUGUGCUUCUGAAGCGUGGUGCUGCCCUCCUCUGCCGCUCUUUUUAUAGUUGUAAUUUACUGUAAUUUAUGGGUUUUUUUAAUUCAUGUCUCUUCCACCGCCGUCAGCUUUAUAAAGGGUUGUUUCCUGCCUCCUCAUUGUACUGCCCCAAACACUUAGAACAAUGCUGGUAAUUAGUAAUAAUUAAUAUCUCCUGAAUCCAUCCAUUUCUUUCAUUCCACUGAACUGCCUUGAUGCACGGCCCCUCAGUCGUGUAAAGAUGACCAAACCCGCCAACUAACCAGUCUCCUCACCUUGAGGCCCCAUCCCUUCUCUGCACUACGCCAGAAAGGUCCUACUAAGCACAAGCCAGAUAAUGUAAAUUCCUAUUAAAAAAUCAUAUCAGCUCCCCACUACCGUCAAAACAUAUCCUAAGUUCUUUAGCGCAGUGUAUGCUCCUUGCCACGGUUUACGUCAGCUUCCCUGUGCGUCUAUGUAUAGGUCGGUACAUAGUUUAUUUCACAUAUAUCUCAUGCA
This is a non-coding RNA of Sus scrofa (pig), 1825 nucleotides long. Lineage: Eukaryota; Metazoa; Chordata; Mammalia; Artiodactyla; Suidae. The record is from RefSeq and is a predicted model, not a curated record.